UCCCUGGUGGCUCAAACGGUAAAGCGUCUGCCUACAAUGCGGGAGGCCCGGGUUCAAUCCCUGGGUUGGGAA
Molecule: transfer RNA, 72 nt
Filed under: Ovis aries (sheep)
Lineage: Eukaryota; Metazoa; Chordata; Mammalia; Artiodactyla; Bovidae
Rfam family: tRNA
About the family: Transfer RNA (tRNA) molecules are approximately 80 nucleotides in length.
Source: Rfam by way of RNAcentral